RNAcentral lists this ribosomal RNA (237 nucleotides) under uncultured Bacillota bacterium. Its description in RNAcentral is "uncultured Firmicutes bacterium partial 16S ribosomal RNA". It matches the Rfam family "Bacterial small subunit ribosomal RNA", at positions 796 to 1041 of the family's 1533-position model. The record is from RNAcentral. Lineage: Bacteria; Bacillati; Bacillota.
CACGCCGUAAACGUUGAGAACUAAGUGUUGGGGAGACCCAGUGCUGAAGCUAACGCAUUAAGUUCUCCGCCUGAGGAGUACGCACGCAAGUGUAAAACUUAAAGGAAUUGACGGGGGCCCGCACAAGCAGUGGAGUAUGUGGUUUAAUUCGAGGCAACGCGAAGAACCUUACCAGGGCUUGACAUCCUCUGACAACCCUAGAGAUAGGGCUUUUCUACGGAACAGAGUGACAGGUGG